Non-coding RNA from Caenorhabditis elegans, 187 nucleotides. The record is from Ensembl. Lineage: Eukaryota; Metazoa; Nematoda; Chromadorea; Rhabditida; Rhabditidae.
UAAAAACUGUCAAGAUGUAUUUGUCUAGUUGCUCGCGCGAUCAUAUCUUUUCUCUUUUCCAAGCACUCACCGUGAGGUCAGUAAAUGCGUUGGCAACAGGAAACGGAAGUGAGAAGCAAAGCAAAAAAAAAGUGAGGAGUGAUGAAGUAUUAAUCCAAAUUAAUAAGCGCCUAAUGUUGUCGAUAUG